AGCGAACGCUGGCGGCAGGCUUAACACAUGCAAGUCGAGCGGGCGUAGCAAUACGUCAGCGGCAGACGGGUGAGUAACGCGUGGGAACGUACCUUUUGGUUCGGAACAACCCAGGGAAACUUGGGCUAAUACCGGAUAAGCCCUUACGGGGAAAGAUUUAUCGCCGAAAGAUCGGCCCGCGUCUGAUUAGCUAGUUGGUGAGGUAACGGCUCACCAAGGCGACGAUCAGUAGCUGGUCUGAGAGGAUGAUCAGCCACAUUGGGACUGAGACACGGCCCAAACUCCUACGGGAGGCAGCAGUGGGGAAUAUUGGACAAUGGGCGCAAGCCUGAUCCAGCCAUGCCGCGUGAGUGAUGAAGGCCCU
RNAcentral lists this ribosomal RNA (364 nucleotides) under uncultured bacterium. RNAcentral's name for it is "bacterial SSU rRNA". It matches the Rfam family "Bacterial small subunit ribosomal RNA", at positions 29 to 418 of the family's 1533-position model. The record is from RNAcentral.